Molecule: long non-coding RNA, 896 nt
Filed under: Homo sapiens (human)
Lineage: Eukaryota; Metazoa; Chordata; Mammalia; Primates; Hominidae
Description: HSALNT0270514
Source: RNAcentral
AGGCUGAGGCAGGAGAAUCGCUAGAACCCGGAAGGCAGAGGUUGCAGUGAGCCGAGAUCAGGCCCCUGCACUCCAGCCUGGGCGACAGAGCAGGACUCCUUCUCCAACACCACCACCAACGACCUGGAAGCAGUUGAAUGUUUUGGGAAUACUGGCCUUUUCCACAUUCAUCAAAGACAUGGCAGUGGUGAGUAUGACUCAUAUUACACAUCUGGAAUUAUUUGGGGCGUGAAUGAGUCGUUUUUCCGAGUUGGGGCUGGCACAGCAUCUUUUACUAACUGCACAGUAGCCAAGUCAAUGGUUCUCAGAGAUUGCAGGUUAAAGAACCCAAAUCAUCUUCAGAAGAGCUGAGCCUCAGCCUAGCUGUGAGGCACUGACUACAGGGCGUGGAAGGCCCAGUUCCUUCCCUGGCAGGCGGUCAGGCAGGGCCAACACUAACGCGGUGGAGCCGCUGGGGAGGCCCUGGGGAGGACAGACAGGAGGCUGGGCUCUACCCAGCCCCUCUGACCACAGCAGCCCAAGUGUCCUGGGCUUCUCAGGACUCAGCACUGAACCUGCCAGGCUGCCCCAGCAGGACGUGGAAGGGGGCCCAGGAGAAGGGUGAGGCCUCCCUAGUGCCCUGGCCUCACUCUCCUACCCAGCGGGACAGGACAGGACUCAACUGGGUCCCACCUGGGCCAACAACAAGGACGUCCCUGGGCACACAGGAACACAAUCUGGCCAGCAAUGCGGAGUGGCAGCUUAGGGACAAUGCAUGUGGCAUUGCUGGAAACACAUCACCAAAGACCACCCAGAGAUGUGACCAGGGAGCCCAGGACCUAACUUCACUUUAACUUCAGUUUUUUUGUUUUGAGAUGGAAUCUCACACUGUCGCCCAGGCUGGAGGGCAGUGGAGC